AUAGAUGCCCCGGUGGCCGAAUGGGUAAUGCGGCCACCUGGUAGCGCCUUGGCGUGGGGACCCAAGGCGCGUGGGUUCGAAACCCGCAGGGGACAACAUUACAUCCGGAGCCAACUUCUCAGCUCCUAAAAUAAUGGGAUGUGAACCUGCCAAGUAGGUACCUUCGGGCGGACCUACUACUUGAUUUAGCUGAUUUUUCCUGGGCUGGGAACCUGUAUUGCAUGUACCAAAUCCUGUCUUUCAUUAAUUUUCCUAUGUUCCUGUUAUAUUCUUGGCGUUGUUCAACACUAAGCAUUCCUCCUGUAUAACCAACUCUUGCCUGUAUUUAACAUCACACAAGGACUCAUCAUAAGCACUGCUUGCAUACGAGUAUAACGGAAGAAUAAUAAUAAUAAUAAUGAUAUCUAUAGAUUACAGAA
This 419-nucleotide small RNA is filed under the name Histoplasma capsulatum var. duboisii H88. RNAcentral's name for it is "Histoplasma capsulatum H88 hypothetical RNA". Lineage: Eukaryota; Fungi; Ascomycota; Eurotiomycetes; Onygenales; Ajellomycetaceae. The record is from RNAcentral.